Molecule: microRNA, 22 nt
Filed under: Euprymna scolopes
Lineage: Eukaryota; Metazoa; Mollusca; Cephalopoda; Sepiida; Sepiolidae
Description: Esc-Novel-66_3p (mature (guide))
Source: RNAcentral
AAAAUGCGUCAAGAUUUGCUGC